This 501-nucleotide ribosomal RNA is filed under the name uncultured bacterium. Its description in RNAcentral is "partial 16S ribosomal RNA". It matches the Rfam family "Bacterial small subunit ribosomal RNA", at positions 30 to 523 of the family's 1533-position model. The record is from RNAcentral.
AUUGAACGCUGGCGGCAGGCUUAACACAUGCAAGUCGAGCGGAGAUGAGGUGCUUGCACCUUAUCUUAGCGGCGGACGGGUGAGUAAUGCUUAGGAAUCUGCCUAUUAGUGGGAGACAACAUUCCGAAAGGAAUGCUAAUACCGCAUACGUCCUACGGGAGAAAGCAGGGGAUCUUCGGGCCUUGCGCUAAUAGAUGAGCCUAAGUCGGAUUAGCUAGUUGGUGGGGUAAAGGCCUACCAAGGCGACGAUCUGUAGCGGGUCUGAGAGGAUGAUCCGCCACACUGGGACUGAGACACGGCCCAGACUCCUACGGGAGGCAGCAGUGGGGAAUAUUGGGCAAUGGGGGGAACCCUGAUCCAGCCAUGCCGCGUGUGUGAAGAAGGCCUUAUGGUUGUAAAGCACUUUAAGCGAGGAGGAGGCUACUGAGACUAAUACUCUUGGAUAGUGGACGUUACUCGCAGAAUAAGCACCGGCUAACUCUGUGCCAGCCGCCGCAGUAA